GCGGGGACCGGGCCGGGUAUAACCAUGCAAGUCGAACGAUGAACCCACUUCGGUGGGGGAUUAGUGGCGAACGGGUGAGUAACACGUGGGCAAUCUGCCCUGCACUCUGGGACAAGCCCUGGAAACGGGGUCUAAUACCGGAUACGACCACUUCAGGCAUCUGAUGGUGGUGGAAAGCUCCGGCGGUGCAGGAUGAGCCCGCGGCCUAUCAGCUUGUUGGUGAGGUAACGGCUCACCAAGGCGACGACGGGUAGCCGGCCUGAGAGGGCGACCGGCCACACUGGGACUGAGACACGGCCCAGACUCCUACGGGAGGCAGCAGUGGGGAAUAUUGCACAAUGGGCGAAAGCCUGAUGCAGCGACGCCGCGUGAGGGAUGACGGCCUUCGGGUUGUAAACCUCUUUCAGCAGGGAAGAAGCGAAAGUGACGGUACCUGCAGAAGAAGCGCCGGCUAACUACGUGCCAGCAGCCGCGGUAAUACGUAGGGCGCAAGCGUUGUCCGGAAUUAUUGGGCGUAAAGAGCUCGUAGGCGGCUUGUCGCGUCGGAUGUGAAAGCCCGGG
This 561-nucleotide ribosomal RNA is filed under the name Streptomyces sp. Its description in RNAcentral is "bacterial SSU rRNA". It matches the Rfam family "Bacterial small subunit ribosomal RNA", at positions 35 to 606 of the family's 1533-position model. The record is from RNAcentral. Lineage: Bacteria; Bacillati; Actinomycetota; Actinomycetes; Kitasatosporales; Streptomycetaceae.